Molecule: non-coding RNA, 71 nt
Organism: Phrynosoma platyrhinos (Desert horned lizard)
Lineage: Eukaryota; Metazoa; Chordata; Lepidosauria; Squamata; Phrynosomatidae
Source: the annotation of a GenBank genome assembly
GCCAGCAUGGAAUAGUGGACUAGCAUUAGACUACAACUCUGGAGAUUAGGGUUCAAUUCCCUGCUUAGCCA